CCGCCACCGCCACCUAUCUGCACUCGCCGUCUCUCACGACCGUCCUCCUCCUCGCCUCCUUGUUCGUCACUCUCGACGCCGCAAAGUCAGCAAAAGAAUCACCGCCGUCCGCUUGCGCCGAUGAGCUCGUCCGGUUCUCGCCGUGCCUGCCGUAAGUGGCGUAGCCGCCGAACAACCACUCCGACUCUCCGGCGUCCAGGUGCUGCCACGUGUUCUCGUCGGCGGAGGAGUCCGGCCACGCCGUUUGCCUCUGCUACCUGGUCCAGGAUCCUCUGAUGCUACGCUUUCCGGUGACCGUCGCUCGCGUCCUCCCUCUCUCUUCCAUUUGCCGUCGCCGGAACUCCACCGC
This 349-nucleotide long non-coding RNA is filed under the name Rosa chinensis. RNAcentral's name for it is "sRNA RchiOBHm_Chr4g0415611". The record is from RNAcentral. Lineage: Eukaryota; Viridiplantae; Streptophyta; Magnoliopsida; Rosales; Rosaceae.